UGGGCCAGAUCUAGUUUCUCUGAGGCGUCGAUGGCAGUCUGGUGCGUCGCUGCCUCCUUCAUGUCUUCGAUUAGCUUCGUGCUCCUUCAUCUCCGUCGGUUUAUCUCACGGGUAAGUUCAGAGCUUCUCUUCUCUGUGAGAAAGUGGUGUGGAGGAAACCACUGAGAACCUCUGUUUAAGAUUGUGGGGUUAGCUUAUCACGGUGGUUAUCCGUGGAUGUGUUGUUUCUUGUUGCUGCUUGUUGGUUCUUUGGGGCUUCGGGGACUGGCCCUGUUUCAGACCCUUCGUUGCGGUUACUCUACAGCAUCCUCAGUCGCUUGCCGUGUUUGUUUGGAGCUUCUGCUCCCGUUCUUCAAGCCUGGGAAUGAAGCUUUGGGUGGGUGUUGCUGCCUCUUUGACGGUUGAAAUGCAUUAUCUCCUCCGAGGAAGUGGCCGGAGUCGGGAGAUAAACCUCCGCCUACCUCCUCAAGAGCCCUUGUUCUUCAUCGAGUGUCUUUCAUCUGUUAGUUUGGACUCACAGCUUCUCCUUCGCAAAGUCUCUGGUUUGGCUGGAUCUGGUCUCAUUGUUAGUGUAAUAGCCGGGGCCGGCUCGUCAAUCCGCCUCCGCCUGUUGCCGUCAAAGUAUCCCCGGGAUUGCUCCGUUUCCAUCCAUACCCAAGACCAGUCUUCUCAUUUGCAGUUUACAGUGAAUGAGUUGCUUCUUGGUCUACCUAUGGCCAAUAGUUAAUCUUAUGAUCUCCUAGUUUAGCUUUAGUUUGUUUCUUAUGAUUUAGACUAAACCUAUUUUGUAUCGAAGGGGCUUUUUUAUCUUUUUUUGGGGUCUCUUUGAUAGAACUUUGCUUAAUUGCAGCUUUAGGUUCAUGCUUGCUUGUACCUCUUUGCCAUUUCUUAUUGAAAUGAAUUCACAUUUUGUCAAAAAAAAAUUAAUAGGAACACAAUCUCAUGGAAAUAUCAUAAGUUGUAGAGUCUGUUUCAUGCAGUUUUAUUAGUAAUGUUGAAAAUAUCAACGACAUUAGUUCACUAAAUAGCGCAACGAAAAUACUGAAAAAAAUAGAUAACCGGCUCGCCAAUCCGCCUCCGCCUGUUGCCGUCAAAGUAUCCCCGGGAUUGCUCCGUUUCCAUCCAUACCCAAGACCAGUCUUCUCAUUUGCAGUUUACAGUGAAUUAGUUGCUUCUUGGUCUACCUAUGGCCAAUAGUUAAUCUUAUGAUCUCCUAGUUUAGCUUUAGUUUGUUUCUUAUGAUUUAGACUAAACCUAUUUUGUAUCGAAGGGGCUUUUUUAUCUUUUUUUGGGGUCUCUUUGAUAGAACUUUGCUUAAUUGCAGCUUUAGGUUCAUGCUUGCUUGUACCUCUUUGCCAUUUCUUAUUGAAAUGAAUUCACAUUUUGUCAAAAAAAAAUUAAUAGGAACACAAUCUCAUGGAAAUAUCAUAAGUUGUAG
Molecule: long non-coding RNA, 1438 nt
Filed under: Brassica napus (rape)
Lineage: Eukaryota; Viridiplantae; Streptophyta; Magnoliopsida; Brassicales; Brassicaceae
Description: long non-coding RNA (BNAP_LNC004279)
Source: RNAcentral